Long non-coding RNA from Halichondria panicea, 2860 nucleotides. RefSeq lists it as uncharacterized. The transcript is spliced from 2 exons. The record is from RefSeq and is a predicted model, not a curated record. Lineage: Eukaryota; Metazoa; Porifera; Demospongiae; Suberitida; Halichondriidae.
UCUUCCUGGAUUGCAGCUUUCGGUGGUCUAUAAGCACCAGGAUAAGGACCUUCGAGAUGUCGGAUGUCGAGAGAGUUGUUAAUUGAGAGGCGAGCAUCCUUGAUUCGGUACAGUGGUGGUAAAUCAGAUGCGACGCUCAAUUCAUGAUAAGCUUCGUCACUCACAGCAAACCUGUCAAGUACAUAAAGAGCUUGCUGUACCCUCGCAGAAUCGUUUGGUGAAAGAGCUGGCGUUUGAUGUUGUGGCUUGUGAGAUGGGCUAGAUAAAAAAUUGAAUUUGAUGGGAGAUCCUGUCUGUUUGCGUAGCUCUAAAGAUUCUGGCUGAAGACCGAAUGAUUCACAAAACCAAAGCGCUUGCUCUGCAGAGCUCUUACAGUGUGGUAGCUUUCGUUUUACCUGUCGUGGUGAUACCUCGUGAACUUUUUUGCCUUUGUUGAUGUGUGCUGUGGUAGGUCUACUUGUUUCGGGGAUUGUUGUUGGCUGUGGAGAUUCAGUGGAUAGUUGCUGCUCAAUUUCAGAAUACGAUUCUGCUUCUCCAUCAAGCACGAAGAGGUUGUAUUCUCCAGCAAGUACGGCAUACCUCCUUCUUCCUUUUAGCCCCCGUAUCCUUCUUGCUACCUUGCUAGCUUGUUCUGCAAGCCUUUUCUCCAGACGAUCGCUUUGUGCUAGUUUAACUAUUGUUACCAUGCUAUUAACUAAGCUAAUGAAUGUCUCUUCUGCCUUCUUGUUCAUGUACCAAUGAUGCAGCAACUCGAUAGGAAUAGAGAGAGAGAAGUUUGGCUGUACUUGUGGUUCUGUGUGGCUGAAGUCAGAGUACUUCUUUGCUGAAUUUGAGAUGGUGAUGGACAGGCUCUCUGCUCUUCUGGACUGCUUGUUUACUGCCAUAGCUAGGAGGCCCGGGAUAAUGGAACAAAAGGUCCCUUGAGCUGUUAUGUAACAAAAUUAAUUAGCCAUGUCAAUAUGAGUGGGCGGGUGAAUAGGCUGCGGUGUUAUCACCCACUAAAUUAACCACAGUACUCAUUCAAUAGCAUGAUAACACUUCUCAGAUGCAUUAUGGCGGGUAUUUUGCGACCUCUGGUUCUCUUAGACUUAUUACAAAAUGGCUGACCAGACAUUCUCAAGAUCCAAGCUCAAGAGGCUCAAUCGAAAAGCUAGAGUUGACAAAAUUGGCAAGCAGCUGUGUAUGGAGAAGAAGAGCCUUGAAUGUGCCGAGAAAAAUGUUCAGAAUUGGAAGAAGAAGGCAAUAGAUUAUAAACUGGAACUCAACGUGUAUCGAGCUAAGCAAUUACGGACAGGAACUCUGGGAACAUCCUGCAGUCACCAACGACCACUAAAGUUACUAACAGCAGCCAUGAAGACGAGUGCAAUCAGUCUACCCAAGGCAACUCCAAGAAUGUGUACGAAUGCUGAUAUUAUGCGAGGAGUUACUGUAGUUCCAGAGAUAAGUGAGAAAUGUUUAGCAGAUGGGGGUGGUGAUGUUCAUAUAGGAAAUGGUCGGUUUGGAACAUGCUCUCGUAUGAUUUUUAAAGAGUGUUUUGACGUCUGUGUCAAAACAUUUACUUCCGACUCCUCAAUCGAAUCGAUUAGGCAUGAAGCCAGUAUAUUACUUACAUUAAAUUCCAGCCCUUAUAUACCACACUGUUUUGGUAUUUGUUCCACCAGGAGAGCUUUAGUAAUGUCUAAUGUAAGCGUGAAGCAGCAACAAGUUUCAUUAUAAUUAUUCUGCCUUGUAUUCGACUAACGAAAUUAAAUUAAGCCCUAAGACAUGGAUGCAAAUACUGAUCCAAAUUUGUGAUGGUCUAUCAUACAUGCACAAGCUGAGUAUUCUUCACAAUGAUCUUAAAGUAGACAACGUAGUAUUAGGGACUACUUUGUUAGAAUGUAUCCGGCCAUGUAUUGUGGAUUUUGGAAAGGCAUGUAAAGAAAAGCAUGCUAAGAAGUACUGCCUGACCGAGGAACAGAAAGUUAUUUACAUAAAAGAACACACUCAAGUAGCUCCAGACCUCCGCGAUGGGCUUGUUUUACAGAGCACACAGAGCGAUAUAUACUCAUUAGGUAGAAUAAUGAAGAAGAUGAACUCCAUUGUAAUUAAGUCAACUGAACUUGCCCAUGUAAUUAAGGAAUGUCUUUCUUAUCAUGCUCAUGACCGUCCUAGCUUAGAAACCAUUUCUCUUAAUGUUGAAUGACUAUGUGACUAAUUAUGUCUUACAUUCAUUCGUUCAUGUUUAAAUCUGGUGCUAGCUUUAACUAUGACAUAGUCUAUGUAUAAUUGUAGGCAAAUCCGUGCUCUCUAAUGGAAGGCUGACAAGGUUAGCUGUAAGUCGGGAUGCGUGUUGACCCAGCCAUUUGUUUGAGAGUCAUUAAAAGCAUUAUGGUAGAGAAUUGGCCUGAAGCAGUUAGUUAUGAGUCACAUAGUGCGUAUUGGCUGCUCAGGUUGGGCCAUGCAUGCAUUAACAAUUAACAAUUAACAAUGAUCAACAACGUUUUUUCACCAGAUUUACACAUACAAUUUCAGAUAGUAGUCUAGGUGACUCUAACAUUUCACCAUUGCUAUUUCUAUAUGUUUUCGGUCCAUACUUAAUUCUAGGACAUACUACAAUAGGAAAAUCUACUGUGCAGCCAUUGCCAUAUCUAUCAUACAAAAUAUACCAACUACCUAUAAAAUAUUCAUCGUUAAAAUCAGUUUGUUGAAGUUGGAGCUUUCCGCGGGUCAUUUGGGUUCCUCGAUCUUUAAAUAGGUAACGAAAUACAUCUAGCCGGAAAUCUAUAGUUAAAUUACAGGAUUUUACAGUACCUAAAUUUAAACUACAUUGAAUGGACAGAACAAAUCUUCUUGUUGCGUCGCUUAUAAGCUCGGUAUG